GAUCCCCUGCGAUGUACGUGAUUAACUAUGAUUUUUUGUUCCAACACCUUAAAUACGGGAGCCCUCCCUUGUACGUGGUGUGCGUGUCCACCAGUACCCUGAAAGGGGAGUGGCGGAAGGCCUGAAGCUACAACAGGGUGCCCACCUUUAACAUAAGGUUCAAAAAACAGUUAACACGGCAUAGGCGGGGGGUUG
This 195-nucleotide non-coding RNA is filed under the name Syntrophaceae bacterium. Its description in RNAcentral is "6S RNA". It matches the Rfam family "6S / SsrS RNA". From Rfam's summary of the family: E. coli 6S RNA was the first non coding RNA to be sequenced, but its function was unknown until recently. It consists of 184 nucleotides that fold into an extended hairpin structure with a large single-stranded internal bulge. The 6S RNA specifically associates with RNA polymerase holoenzyme containing the sigma70 specificity factor. Lineage: Bacteria; Pseudomonadati; Thermodesulfobacteriota; Syntrophia; Syntrophales; Syntrophaceae. The record is from RNAcentral.